This 468-nucleotide ribosomal RNA is filed under the name uncultured bacterium. RNAcentral's name for it is "partial 16S ribosomal RNA". It matches the Rfam family "Bacterial small subunit ribosomal RNA", at positions 28 to 507 of the family's 1533-position model. The record is from RNAcentral.
GACGAACGCUGGCGGCGUGCUUAACACAUGCAAGUCGAACGGAAAGGCCCUGCUUUUGUGGGGUGCUCGAGUGGCGAACGGGUGAGUAACACGCGAGUAACCUGCCCUUGACUUUGGGAUAACUCCAGGAAACUGGGGCUAAUACCGGAUAGGAGCUCCUGCUGCACGGUGGGGGUUGGAAAGUUUCGGCGGUUGGGGAUGGACUCGCGGCUUAUCAGCUUGUUGGUGGGGUAGUGGCUUACCAAGGCUUUGACGGGUAGCCCGCCUGAGAGGGUUGCCGGCCACAUUGGGACUGAGAUACGGCCCAGACUCCUACGGGAGGCAGCAGGGGGAAAUAUUGCACAAUGGGCGGGAGCCUGAUGCAGCAACGCCGCGUGCGGGAUGACGGCCUUCGGGUUGUAAACCGAUUUCGCCUGUGACGAAGCGUGAGUGACGGUAAUGUGUAAAGAAGCACCGGCUAACUACGUG